GUACAAGCUGGCAGAAUUGUGGCAGCAAGGCUAUUUUGGUAAUUUCACCCUUGAUCCUUAUCUAUUAGACCCCAGCUCGACCAAGGAUGUUCAGAUAUGCAUGUUUGAGCUCAGAGAAGUGCUCUUCCUUCUCCUUUUCUCUCUCUCUCUAGGGUUUCUCUCUCUCUAUGAAGAAAUCGUCGAUUUUGCUCUUUUUCGUCGCCGCGUUUGUUCUUCGCUGUUUGCGAGCGUCGCAGAGCUUACGUGGACAUGUGAGAGAGUAAUUUGGAAGGCUUUUCGCAGUCCUGAACCAGUAGCUCACUGGUGGGAAGUCUGAGAAGGUUUUCGAACCUAAUUGAAUGUAAUUAGUGAUCUUGGGGAUUAGUGUAGAAGGUGUUUUAACCCGAGGAAAGCAAGAAUUUCAGCGAUAGCGCUUUUGACCUUGGGAUCAUCUUCUGUUGGCAUUGGAGUGUCAUUAGGGGCUUAACUUGAGCAGGAUUGCAGCCUUGUUGAGCUUUAUAUUGGGACUUUUUGUGGCUGAUUGGAGCUUCAUAAUAGGUGGGUCGGACCUAACCAGAGCAAGUGGAGCUCCCCUAUGUUCUAUAUAUACCAUGGAAUCAAUGUUGUAGUGGGCUUUUGUGUACUCGAUACAAAACUUGAGACGAGUCGCUAUACUUGAGUAUAGUUGAAUUGCAAUUUCUUUAUUAUGUUCCUAGAACUAGAAAACAAUGACAUGCUUGUAGAGAACAGUGACAUUCUCUUGACUACACUAAAGUAGAGAACAAGAACAUGCUUGAAGCCUAUAUUAGUCUUACAUGUUACUAGUGGAUACUAGCUAUUGUUCAUAUGCUUGAUCUUUUUAUACUGAAAUUCCGAUCAAGGAUCGAUGUGGAAUGAUACUCGAGACAUAUUGGACUGUGAAUUAUGCUUG
This is a long non-coding RNA of Ananas comosus (pineapple), 910 nucleotides long. RefSeq lists it as uncharacterized. The record is from RefSeq and is a predicted model, not a curated record. Lineage: Eukaryota; Viridiplantae; Streptophyta; Magnoliopsida; Poales; Bromeliaceae. The transcript is spliced from 4 exons.